Molecule: unclassified non-coding RNA, 631 nt
Filed under: uncultured Delftia sp.
Lineage: Bacteria; Pseudomonadati; Pseudomonadota; Betaproteobacteria; Burkholderiales; Comamonadaceae
Description: 16S-23S ribosomal RNA intergenic spacer
Rfam family: tRNA (bases 86-159)
Source: RNAcentral
CUGGAAAACUGCUGUUCAAGUUGAACGCCCACACUUAUCGGUUGUUGGAACAAGCCGCAGGCUCUGGUUGCAGAGUGUGUGGACUGGGUCUGUAGCUCAGCUGGUUAGAGCACCGUCUUGAUAAGGCGGGGGUCGUUGGUUCGAGCCCAACUAGACCCACCAAGAUUCCAAUGUCUGGUUGUCGAGGAUCCCGGGGGAUUAGCUCAGCUGGGAGAGCACCUGCUUUGCAAGCAGGGGGUCGUCGGUUCGAUCCCGUCAUCCUUCACCAAGAUCGCCUGGUGGCAACAAGCGAAGAGCUUGCAGGAUGAGAAAAGCACGAAAAAAGCGUGCUACAAUAUUUGACUCAACACUAAAGCAGUCUCGUGUGAGACUGCUUUAGUGUUGAUAGUUAUCCAACUAUCAAUCGGCUGUUCUUUAAAAAUUCAUAGAGUCGAAAUCAGCGUUGCUGACGGAAAGAGAUUUCAAUCUCACCGUGCCGUCAGCAACAUUUUGAUUGCGUCAAAACGAAUGAAACUUUGUUUUAUUCAAGUAAUGACGAAUCUUUCUCUGACAGCAAUGUCAAAGAAUCAUUCACAUUACGGCAUAACGCGCGAGGUGAGAGACCUCGCAAGUCCUUGAGAGAAAACGGCGA